AAAAAAGGUAAGCUACUAAGAGCGAAUGGUGGAUGCCUUGACUGGUAAAGGCGAUGAAGGACGUACUAGACUGCGAUAAGCUACGGGGAGCUGUCAAGAAGCUUUGAUCCGUAGAUUUCCGAAUGGGGCAACCCAAUGUAUAGAGAUAUACAUUACCUAUAUAGGAGCGAACGAGGGGAAUUGAAACAUCUUAGUACCCUCAGGAAAAGAAAUCAAUAGAGAUUGCGUCAGUAGCGGCGAGCGAAAGCGCAAGAGGGCAAACCCAGUGCUUGCACUGGGGGUUGUAGGACUGCAAUGUGCAAGAGCUGAGUUUAGCAGAACAUUCUGGAAAGUAUAGCCAUAGAGGGUGAUAGUCCCGUAUGCGAAAAACAAAGCUUAGCUAGCAGUAUCCUGAGUAGGGCGGGACACGAGGAAUCCUGUCUGAAUCCGGGUCGACCACGAUCCAACCCUAAAUACUAAUACCAGAUCGAUAGUGCACAAGUACCGUGAGGGAAAGGUGAAAAGAACUGAGGUGAUCAGAGUGAAAUAGAACCUGAAACCAUUUGCUUACAAUCAUUCAGAGCACUAUGUAGCAAUACAGUGUGAUGGACUGCCUUUUGCAUAAUGAGCCUGCGAGUUGUGGUGUCUGGCAAGGUUAAGCAAACGCGAAGCCGUAGCGAAAGCGAGUCUGAAUAGGGCGCUUAGUCAGAUGCUGCAGACCCGAAACGAAGUGAUCUAUCCAUGAGCAAGUUGAAGCUAGUGUAAGAACUAGUGGAGGACUGAACCCAUAGGCGUUGAAAAGCCCCGGGAUGACUUGUGGAUAGGGGUGAAAGGCCAAUCAAACUUCGUGAUAGCUGGUUCUCUCCGAAAUAUAUUUAGGUAUAGCGUUGUGUCGUAAUAUAAGGGGGUAGAGCACUGAAUGGGCUAGGGCAUACACCAAUGUACCAAACCCUAUCAAACUCCGAAUACCUUAUAUGUAAUCACAGCAGUCAGGCGGCGAGUGAUAAAAUCCGUCGUCAAGAGGGAAACAACCCAGACUACCAGCUAAGGUCCCUAAAUCUUACUUAAGUGGAAAACGAUGUGAAGUUACUUAAACAACCAGGAGGUUGGCUUAGAAGCAGCCAUCCUUUAAAGAAAGCGUAAUAGCUCACUGGUCUAGUGAUUUUGCGCGGAAAAUAUAACGGGGCUAAAGUAAGUACCGAAGCUGUAGACUUGCGCACAACUUAGAUUAUUUAAGUUUAGAAUAUGAGAAACUAAGUUAUGUUUAGUUAUAUUUUUACUGAUUUUUAUAGAGUAAAGAUAGAAAUAAAACUUAGUAAAAUCAGUAAAAAUAUUCUUAGGCUAAAGUUAAGUAGUUUAAGUUGUGUGCAAGUGGUAGGAGAGCGUUCUAUUUGCGUCGAAGGUAUACCGGUAAGGAGUGCUGGAGCGAAUAGAAGUGAGCAUGCAGGCAUGAGUAGCGAUAAUUAAUGUGAGAAUCAUUAACGCCGUAAACCCAAGGUUUCCUACGCGAUGCUCGUCAUCGUAGGGUUAGUCGGGUCCUAAGUCGAGUCCGAAAGGGGUAGACGAUGGCAAAUUGGUUAAUAUUCCAAUACCAACAUUAGUGUGCGAUGGAAGGACGCUUAGGGCUAAGGGGGCUAGCGGAUGGAAGUGCUAGUCUAAGGUCGUAGGAGGUUAUACAGGCAAAUCCGUAUAACAAUACUCCGAGAACUGAAAGGCUUUUUGAAGUCUUCGGAUGGAUAGAAGAACCCCUGAUGCCGUCGAGCCAAGAAAAGUUUCUAAGUUUAGCUAAUGUUGCCCGUACCGUAAACCGACACAGGUGGGUGGGAUGAGUAUUCUAAGGCGCGUGGAAGAACUCUCUUUAAGGAACUCUGCAAAAUAGCACCGUAUCUUCGGUAUAAGGUGUGGUUAGCUUUGUAUUAGGAUUUACUCCGAAAGCAAGGAAACUUACAACAAAGAGUCCCUCCCGACUGUUUACCAAAAACACAGCACUCUGCUAACUCGUAAGAGGAUGUAUAGGGUGUGACGCCUGCCCGGUGCUCGAAGGUUAAUUGAUGGGGUUAGCAUUAGCGAAGCUCUUGAUCGAAGCCCGAGUAAACGGCGGCCGUAACUAUAACGGUCCUAAGGUAGCGAAAUUCCUUGUCGGUUAAAUACCGACCUGCAUGAAUGGCGUAACGAGAUGGGAGCUGUCUCAAAGAGGGAUCCAGUGAAAUUGUAGUGGAGGUGAAAAUUCCUCCUACCCGCGGCAAGACGGAAAGACCCCGUGGACCUUUACUACAGCUUGACACUGCUACUUGGAUAAGAAUGUGCAGGAUAGGUGGGAGGCUUUGAGUAUAUGACGCCAGUUGUAUAUGAGCCAUUGUUGAGAUACCACUCUUUCUUAUUUGGGUAGCUAACCAGCUUGAGUUAUCCUCAAGUGGGACAAUGUCUGGUGGGUAGU
This 2416-nucleotide ribosomal RNA is filed under the name Campylobacter jejuni. RNAcentral's name for it is "partial 23S ribosomal RNA". It matches the Rfam family "Bacterial large subunit ribosomal RNA", at positions 1 to 2269 of the family's 2925-position model. Lineage: Bacteria; Pseudomonadati; Campylobacterota; Epsilonproteobacteria; Campylobacterales; Campylobacteraceae. The record is from RNAcentral.